RNAcentral lists this ribosomal RNA (435 nucleotides) under uncultured bacterium. RNAcentral describes it as "bacterial SSU rRNA". It matches the Rfam family "Bacterial small subunit ribosomal RNA", at positions 355 to 786 of the family's 1533-position model. The record is from RNAcentral.
UGAGGAAUAUUGGUCAAUGGUCGCUAGACUGAACCAGCCAAGUAGCGUGCGGGAUGAAGGCCCUCCGGGUCGUAAACCGCUUUUAGACGGGGAUAAAAGGGCGUACGUGUACGCCGUGUUGCAUGUACCGUCAGAAAAAGGACCGGCUAAUUCCGUGCCAGCAGCCGCGGUAAUACGGAAGGUCCGGGCGUUAUCCGGAUUUAUUGGGUUUAAAGGGAGCGUAGGCGGACUUUCAAGUCAGUGGUAAAAUCGUGUGGCUCAACCAUACCUCGCCAUUGAAACUGGAAGUCUGGAGUGCACACAGGGUGCCGGAAUUCAUGGUGUAGCGGUGAAAUGCUUAGAUAUCAUGAAGAACUCCGAUCGCGAAGGCAAGUGCCCGGGGUGCAACUGACGCUGAGGCUCGAAGGUGCGGGUAUCGAAACAGGAUUAGAUACC